GAUGAAGAACGUAGCGAAAUGCGAUAAGUAAUGUGAAUUGCAGAAUUCAGUGAAUCACCGAAUCUUUGAACGCACAUUGCGCCCCCUGGUAUUCCGGGGGGCAUGCCUGUUCGAGCGUCAUUUCACCACUCAAGCCUCGCUUGGUAUUGGGCAACGCGGUCCGCCGCGUGCCUCAAAUCGACCGGCUGGGUCUUCUGUCCCCUAAGCGUUGUGGAAACUAUUCGCUAAAGGGUGUUCGGGAGGCUACGCCGUAAAACAACCCCAUUUCUAAGGUUGACCUCGGAUCAGGUAGGGAUACCCGCUGAACUUAAGCAUAUCAAUAAGCGGAGGA
RNAcentral lists this unclassified non-coding RNA (331 nucleotides) under soil metagenome. RNAcentral's name for it is "partial contains 5.8S ribosomal RNA, internal transcribed spacer 2, and large subunit ribosomal RNA". The stretch from base 1 to 120 matches the Rfam family "5.8S ribosomal RNA", at positions 35 to 154 of the family's 154-position model. The record is from RNAcentral.